AUAUAUAUAUAUAUACACACACACACACACACACACACGUGCGCGUAUACAUAUGUGUGUGUAUAUAUAUAUAUAU
This 76-nucleotide microRNA precursor is filed under the name Podarcis lilfordi (Lilford's wall lizard). The record is from RNAcentral. Lineage: Eukaryota; Metazoa; Chordata; Lepidosauria; Squamata; Lacertidae.